RNAcentral lists this ribosomal RNA (404 nucleotides) under uncultured bacterium. Its description in RNAcentral is "bacterial SSU rRNA". It matches the Rfam family "Bacterial small subunit ribosomal RNA", at positions 355 to 776 of the family's 1533-position model. The record is from RNAcentral.
UGGGGAAUCUUGCACAAUGGAGGAAACUCUGAUGCAGCGAUGCCGCGUGAGUGAAGAAGGCCCUUGGGUUGUAAAGCUCUUUCGUCGGGGAAGAAAAUGACUGUACCCGAAUAAGAAGGUCCGGCUAACUUCGUGCCAGCAGCCGCGGUAAUACGAAGGGACCUAGCGUAGUUCGGAAUUACUGGGCUUAAAGAGUUCGUAGGUGGUUGAAAAAGUUAGUGGUGAAAUCCCAAGGCUCAACCUUGGAACUGCCAUCAAAACUUUUUAGCUAGAGUGUGAUAGAGGUAAGUGGAAUUUCUAGUGUAGAGGUGAAAUUCGUAGAUAUUAGAAAGAACACCAAAAGCGAAGGCAACUUACUGGGUCACUACUGACACUGAGGAGCGAAAGCGUGGGGAGCAAACGGG